GAUGAACGCUGGCGGCGUGCCUAAGGCAUGCAAGUCGAGCGGUAGCUCCUAUAAGUGAAUAACUUAGAGGAGUGAGAGCGGCGCACGGGUGAGUAACACGUAGAUAACCUAUCCCAGAGAGGGGGACAACAUUUCGAAAGGGAUGCUAAACCCCCAUAUACUUACCGGACGGACAGUUCAGGUAAGGAAAUAGUCUAGUGAGGCGACUCACUAAGCUGUUCUGGGAGGGGUCUGCGGCCUAUCAGCUAGUUGGUGAGGUAAAGGCUCACCAAGGCGAAGACGGGUAGCCGGCCUGAGAGGGUGGUCGGCCACAUUGGGACUGAGACACGGCCCAAACUCCUACGGGAGGCAGCAGCCGGGAAUAUUCCGCAAUGGGGGAAACCCUGACGGAGCGACGCCGCGUGAGGGAAGAAGCCCUUCGGGGGUGUAAACCUCUUUUCUCGGGGAAGAGUAGAGACGGUACCCGAGGAAUAAGCCCCGGCUAACUACGUG
This 492-nucleotide ribosomal RNA is filed under the name uncultured bacterium. Its description in RNAcentral is "bacterial SSU rRNA". It matches the Rfam family "Bacterial small subunit ribosomal RNA", at positions 28 to 507 of the family's 1533-position model. The record is from RNAcentral.